CGAGCGAACUGAUUAGAAGCUUGCUUCUAUGACGUUAGCGGCGGACGGGUGAGUAACACGUGGGCAACCUGCCUGUAAGACUGGGAUAACUUCGGGAAACCGAAGCUAAUACCGGAUAGGAUCUUCUCCUUCAUGGGAGAUGAUUGAAAGAUGGUUUCGGCUAUCACUUACAGAUGGGCCCGCGGUGCAUUAGCUAGUUGGUGAGGUAACGGCUCACCAAGGCAACGAUGCAUAGCCGACCUGAGAGGGUGAUCGGCCACACUGGGACUGAGACACGGCCCAGACUCCUACGGGAGGCAGCAGUAGGGAAUCUUCCGCAAUGGACGAAAGUCUGACGGAGCAACGCCGCGUGAGUGAUGAAGGCUUUCGGGUCGUAAAACUCUGUUGUUAGGGAAGAACAAGUACGAGAGUAACUGCUCGUACCUUGACGGUACCUAACCAGAAAGCCACGGCUAACUACGUGCCAGCAGCCGCGGUAAUACGUAGGUGGCAAGCGUUAUCCGGAAUUAUUGGGCGUAAAGCGCGCGCAGGCGGUUUCUUAAGUCUGAUGUGAAAGCCCACGGCUCAACCGUGGAGGGUCAUUGGAAACUGGGGAACUUGAGUGCAGAAGAGAAAAGCGGAAUUCC
RNAcentral lists this ribosomal RNA (626 nucleotides) under Bacillus sp. (in: firmicutes). Its description in RNAcentral is "bacterial SSU rRNA". It matches the Rfam family "Bacterial small subunit ribosomal RNA", at positions 63 to 670 of the family's 1533-position model. The record is from RNAcentral. Lineage: Bacteria; Bacillati; Bacillota; Bacilli; Caryophanales; Bacillaceae.